Molecule: ribosomal RNA, 478 nt
Filed under: uncultured bacterium
Lineage: Bacteria
Description: partial 16S ribosomal RNA
Rfam family: Bacterial small subunit ribosomal RNA
Source: RNAcentral
GACGAACGCUGGCGGCGUGCUUAACACAUGCAAGUCGAACGGUAAGGCCCUUCGGGGUACACGAGUGGCGAACGGGUGAGUAACACGUGGGUGAUCUGCCCUGCACUUCGGGAUAAGCCUGGGAAACUGGGUCUAAUACCGGGUAGGACCACUGCCUGCAUGGGUGGUGGUGGAAAGCUUUUGCGGUGUGGGAUGGGCCCGCGGCCUAUCAGCUUGUUGGUGGGGUGAUGGCCUACCAAGGCGACGACGGGUAGCCGGCCUGAGAGGGUGACCGGCCACACUGGGACUGAGAUACGGCCCAGACUCCUACGGGAGGCGGCAGUGGGGAAUAUUGCACAAUGGGCGCAAGCCUGAUGCAGCGACGCCGCGUGAGGGAUGACGGCCUUCGGGUUGUAAACCUCUUUCAGCACCGACGAAGCGCAAGUGACGGUAGGUGCAGAAGAAGGACCGGCCAACUACGUGCCAGCAGCCGCAGUAA